GGCUCAGAUUGAACGCUGGCGGCGUGCUUAACACAUGCAAGUCGCGCGUGAAAGGACUUCGGUCCGAGUAAAGCGGCGCACGGGUGAGUAACGCGUGGAUGAUCUACCCAUGAGUUAGGAAUAACGGCUGGAAACGGUCGCUAAUACCAAAUACGCUCCGAUUUCAACUUCGGGGGAAAGGUGGCCUCUGCUUGCAAGCUACUGCUCAUGGAUGAGUCCGCGUCCCAUUAGCUAGUUGGUGGGGUAACGGCCCACCAAGGCGACGAUGGGUAGCCGGUCUGAGAGGAUGACCGGCCACACUGGGACUGGAACACGGCCCAGACUCCUACGGGAGGCAGCAGUGGGGAAUAUUGCGCAAUGGGCGAAAGCCUGACGCAGCGACGCCGCGUGAGGGAUGAAAGGUCCUCGGAUCGUAAACCUCUGUCAGGAGGGAAGAACCGCCACGGUGCUAAUCAGCCGUGGUCUGACGGUACCUCCAAAGGAAGCACCGGCUAACUCCGUGCCAGCAGCUGC
This 513-nucleotide ribosomal RNA is filed under the name uncultured bacterium. RNAcentral's name for it is "bacterial SSU rRNA". It matches the Rfam family "Bacterial small subunit ribosomal RNA", at positions 21 to 518 of the family's 1533-position model. The record is from RNAcentral.